GAUGAACGCUGGCGGCGUGCUUAACACAUGCAAGUCGAACGGACGCUUUGGGAAACUGAGGCGUUAGUGGCAAACGGGUGCGUAACACGUGGGUGACCUACCUCAAAGAGGGGAAUAACAGACCGAAAGGUUUGCUAAUACCGCGUAUGCUCGAUGGUUCAAUCCGUCGAGUAAAGUCGCAAGACGCUUUGAGAGGGGCCCGCGGCCCAUCAGGUAGUUGGUGAGGUAAUGGCCCACCAAGCCGAUGACGGGUAGCUGGUCUAAGAGGACGAUCAGCCACACUGGCACUGAGAAACGGGCCAGACUCCUACGGGUGGCUG
This 320-nucleotide ribosomal RNA is filed under the name uncultured Chloroflexota bacterium. RNAcentral describes it as "bacterial SSU rRNA". It matches the Rfam family "Bacterial small subunit ribosomal RNA", at positions 28 to 351 of the family's 1533-position model. Lineage: Bacteria; Bacillati; Chloroflexota. The record is from RNAcentral.